CCCGGCUAACAAACGGCAUGGGGAAGUUAUACCAGGGACACGCAUUUUGGAUACACAUAGCACAGGAUGGAGGCUGCCUUUCAGCAGGUCUGGCUUGAAAGGUUUGGUUAUACUGCUCCUUAAAAAGCCAUAGUCAUCAUUUGGGAGUCAGACGCCAACCCCCAGUGGUACAUCAUUGGCUUAGAUGGUAGCUGGCUUAUAUUCCGGUAAUCAGUGUUUACCCAAAGCGUCUGAGUACCCUCUCAGUGUUUUGAGUCCUCCUCUGACAGGUCUUUGCCCUCAUCUAAGCCUACUCACCAUAAUUGGCAUUGUAGACAAUUAGCUCUGUGAUUCUAUGGAAAUCGUGUCACCUGUAGGAAAUGAUCUUCCCACUUAUCUGACCUCCCUGCCAAAAGCAAUGCCAUCCGGUGUUAUUAGAUUUGCUUUCUAUCCAGUAAGCGCUUUUUGCCUGCUGCUUUGUGACAUUUUAUUUUACCCAAGAAUUGUCACCGCGGCACCUUAGCAACAGCUAAAGAAUAUGUCUCUAUACAAAGCAUCUGUAUUUCCCCUGAGCCUUCCUUUGUGGUAAUGUUUUUGAACACCGAUGACAAGGUAGGGAAAUAAUAUUGCUAAUAAAUACAUGAUAGGAUUUUAA
RNAcentral lists this long non-coding RNA (634 nucleotides) under Rattus norvegicus (Norway rat). Its description in RNAcentral is "long non-coding RNA NONRATT029304". Lineage: Eukaryota; Metazoa; Chordata; Mammalia; Rodentia; Muridae. The record is from RNAcentral.